This 433-nucleotide ribosomal RNA is filed under the name uncultured bacterium. RNAcentral's name for it is "partial 16S ribosomal RNA". It matches the Rfam family "Bacterial small subunit ribosomal RNA", at positions 29 to 507 of the family's 1533-position model. The record is from RNAcentral.
AACGAACGCUGGCGGCAUGCCUAACACAUGCAAGUCGAACGAGACCUUCGGGUCUAGUGGCGCACGGGUGCGUAACGCGUGGGAACCUGCCCUUAGGUUCGGAAUAACUCCCCGAAAGGGGUGCUAAUGCCGGAUAAUGUCUUCGGACCAAAGAUUUAUCGCCUUUGGAUGGGCCCGCGUUGGAUUAGCUGGUUGGUAGGGUAAAAGCCGACCAAGGCGACGAUCCAUAGCUGGUCGGAGAGGAUGCUCAGCCACACUGGGACUGCGACACGGCCCACACUCCUACGGGAGGCAGCAGUGGGGAAUAUUGGACAAUGGGCGAAAGCCUGAUCCAGCCAUGCCGCGUGAGUGAUGCAGGCCUUAGGGUUGUAAAGCUCUUUUACCCGGGAUGAUAAUGACAGUACCGGGAGAAUAAGCUCCGGCUAACUCCGUG